Melospiza melodia melodia is the source of this 1082-nucleotide long non-coding RNA. RefSeq lists it as uncharacterized. The record is from RefSeq and is a predicted model, not a curated record. The transcript has 2 exons. Lineage: Eukaryota; Metazoa; Chordata; Aves; Passeriformes; Passerellidae.
GUUAAUAUUCUUGAGUUGUCACGGUCCCGAGGAGUUUCACCGGAGCGGCGCCCAGGCGGGAUAACCCCUAUUUUCUCCUCAACUUCUUGGGUCAAAACUGGGCAACCACCACCUCAGAAACUGUAAAUACUUUGUGACCGUGCAAAGAACUUAAGCCCGCGUUCUGCCGGCGUCCAUCGGCGGGUUUGCGAAUGUUGCUUGCAGGCAGAACAGGUGCUGGGGAUGUCACUUCUUCAUUCAAAGCUGAUUGUGCAGAAGAGCUUGUGGGAAGUUCAGUCUGAGCAAUUUGCAAAUGGCCCAAGUCUAAAUUUGGGAUAUUAUUCAGGAACACCUACACACCUACAAAACUCCUGCUAGAAGCUGCCCUCCCAUCUCCCCAGGUCUCCAGGGAUGCUGGCGACAUACCACAGAACAGCCACCACCCUCUGUGCUUCCAAACCCAGAAGCACAUCCUGAGCUUUUUCUUUUAUGAAGGCUCUUCCCAAGCACAGGUGUUUCAGUAGGAGGAAAAACUCCUGAAAAAUAUGCUGGAGAAAUAAGUUCUUUAUCUGGACUGUAUUCAAAUGUUGUGCCUACACUGAAUGUGAAGUGACUUUCUGAAUUAGGAACCUUUUUUCUGUGAGUGACUUUACAAAUUCAGGCUUACCUUGAUCAAUAGAAAAUGCUGACAAUCACAACACAGCACCACGUAACCAAAUGUCAUCAAGCAAAAAUAGUCUUUAUUCAAAUUUCAUGGAAACGGGGAUCACUGUACUUUGCAAGACAGGGAAAAAUAAAAUAAAAAAUUUAAUAUAAAACAAGGAUAUUGUCACAAUACCAGAAUAUGGAACUAUAGUUCUUUUCCCUAUAGAUUACUGCAAGUACCUCUAUUUUUUUUUCCUUUUGACUGUGCUAUUCACAACUUCGUUAAGUCCAAAAAAUAUGGAACAAAAGUAGUAUGAAACUUAAGACUUAGCACUUCCACUAAAUGGCAGACAUCAAAGGGCAUCAAUCGAGGGCAAAAUCUGUUGAAUCCAUCAUACCUACCUAUCAGUCAUCACUGCAAUUCCAUAAACCCACCAGGGUGCAGUGCUCAUUCCCUG